This is a non-coding RNA of Chytridium lagenaria, 101 nucleotides long. Lineage: Eukaryota; Fungi; Chytridiomycota; Chytridiomycetes; Chytridiales; Chytridiaceae. The record is from the annotation of a GenBank genome assembly.
GCCCGUGUAGUUCAGCGGCAGAAUAUUUCCCUCCUACGUUGCGUUCUUUAGAAUACAGUAGUUUCAGGAAGAGGUCUUGGGUUCAAUCCCCAACUCGGGUA